AUCCAGCUGACUAGUCGCAAAUAGGACGAAACGCACAUACUGGAU
Molecule: non-coding RNA, 45 nt
Filed under: Schistosoma haematobium
Lineage: Eukaryota; Metazoa; Platyhelminthes; Trematoda; Strigeidida; Schistosomatidae
Source: RNAcentral